Molecule: non-coding RNA, 589 nt
Organism: Pelobates cultripes (western spadefoot toad)
Lineage: Eukaryota; Metazoa; Chordata; Amphibia; Anura; Pelobatidae
Source: the annotation of a GenBank genome assembly
GUCAGGGUAUAGCGUGAGGUGGCCUGAGGCUACUGGGGCUUCUACUGUUACUCCGGGCAGUUUUGUAGUAUGCAUCAAGAGCAGAGGUGUUGCAGUUAGGGCAGCCAUGUUUGGGUUGAAAUCAUAGAUCUCUAAUGUAAAGCAUCAGUGGGUGUUGUUACUCCCAGCGUUACUGCAGAACCCCUCAAUGUCUCCCCAGGGCUUAUAUUUAUUUAGGGGGUAUCGUGUGGUGUAGUACAGUACGUAUGUCUUGCCCUGGUCGGGGAUCCUCAGCACAGAGCAGGAAUAGGAGUAUAGCAUUCAAGCUGGAUUUGUCUUUCAGUCACAAGCCCCCUCUAGAGAACCACUGGGUAGGAGCUGAGAGUCCACCUUUGCCACCGUCCCUAUGAGCAGGUGUCCGUGUGGUAGUCCAGCCUAUGGCUGUCUCGUGGCUGCCAUACCAUAUGGGAUCCGUGGGUGCAGUGCCCCUUCGGUCUACCUCCCAGGGCUUCUGUGUGUCUAUUCUGGUCUGGUUAGGAGUGGGAGCAGUCGUCUGCCGUGAAGGAAAUUGUUAUGUGACGGUGGUGUGUCAAUGAUCAGGUGGGAAGGG